GUGAGACCAGCAGGCCUGGCAGGCCAGCACGCUGCUUCUGCUGGGCUCUGUGGAGUGUCUGUCUCUGUCUCAGCUUGGUGCUGGAGUCCAGGCUGCCCUGAGUGCUGCCAUAGCCAGAGCCUUGCAGUGGGGCAGAGCUCGGUGUCGCUGGCGCUUCACACAUGUCUGAAGGACCUUGCCAAGGUUGUGUGAGCGUCUCUCCCUGCCUCAAGGUAAGAUCAUCUCUGCCUCUGUCAUUGCUGCACUAAUCUGUUUGUAAAGACCCUUGGGGAUACAGGUUGCUCAACCUCUUCCAGGACUUCUAACAAGAAUAACUGUAACAACCCUAUAAAGUGUGUUGGGGGUUUUCUUGUUUACUUUCCUUCCUUGCCUCAAUUUUUGUUUAUGUUCUGUGGUCGAGGAAACAUUUUCCUUCACCUUUCCAGGAGGCUGUUUGAAAGCUGCCCUCAGAUCAGUGGGGACCAACAGGGAUGGCUGUGCUCCUCUGCAAUGCAUGUGACAGAUGUGUCAGCUCUGGGCUCACUCUCUCCAAAUGGUCCAUUUCUGUCUCAAAACACAGGGGCCAAAAGCAGAGCACCAGCCUUAUGAUGAAAAUCAGCCUUUAAGCAGCAUUUUGAGACCUGCCCUAAUCAGAGUUUUGGGAGGCACCACUCUGAAGUGAGCUGGAAUUGGAGGGAAGAGAGCAGAGAUGGGAAAGGAGAGGUGCAUCCAAUUGAGGGCAUUGCAGCAGCCUCAGAUGAAAACCUUUCCCAAAACAAGAGAAACAAAAAGCUUCCUCAAAGUGGAUGGAGAUGCUGCACAGACUGCCCUGCCUGAGCACCUCUGCCCUGCUCUGGGUUAUUUAACUGGGUUCUGCAAACAUGAUUUCAAACAGCAAACAGCUAAGCAAAGGGAGCAAGACAUAACCUUUGUUUCUGCAGGACCUACCAGAGGCUGACAAUGUGGGUACGUGGGCAAUGGGAAAAACAGUUUAUGUUUUAAGCUUCGUGUGACCUCUGGAGCUUCUGGGCAUUGGAAGGUGAGAGUGAGACAAUCCUCACAAGCACUUCAUCCCUCUCGAAAUGAAGGGGCUUUCCUGGGCACACAGCUUUCCCCCUUCCCUCCCAGAAGUGUAUCUGAUUUUUGGGGGUGGAAAAAAAGAGGAUUGAUUCAAAUAAAAAUGUAUUUGUAUGAGAAAAAUUAUUUCCU
RNAcentral lists this long non-coding RNA (1188 nucleotides) under Zonotrichia albicollis (white-throated sparrow). Its description in RNAcentral is "lncRNA (ENSZALG00000006175.1)". The record is from RNAcentral. Lineage: Eukaryota; Metazoa; Chordata; Aves; Passeriformes; Passerellidae.